UACAGAGGGGGCAAGCGUUGUUCGGAAUUACUGGGCGUAAAGGGCGCGUAGGCGGCCUGUUAAGUCAGACGUGAAAUCCCUCGGCUCAACCGGGGAACUGCGUCUGAUACUGGCGGGCUUGAAUUCGGGAGAGGGAUGUGGAAUUCCAGGUGUAGCGGUGAAAUGCGUAGAUAUCUGGAGGAACACCGGUGGCGAAGGCGGCAUCCUGGACCGACAUUGACGCUGAGGCGCGAAAGCCAGGGGAGCGAACGGG
This 253-nucleotide ribosomal RNA is filed under the name uncultured bacterium. Its description in RNAcentral is "partial 16S ribosomal RNA". It matches the Rfam family "Bacterial small subunit ribosomal RNA", at positions 524 to 776 of the family's 1533-position model. The record is from RNAcentral.